CUAUAUGCGCCGUUGUUGUCACUGUCGUCGUCUUCGUCGUUUUUGCCGUCGAUUGCCGUCACCGUUUGUUGGAGUUUAAAGAUCGUACUCGUAAAGUUAUUCUCGUGUACGGUCCAUAUUUAACCAUCUAUUGCAAGUGUCACCCACUCUUUUCCCUGGUGCUACUGCUGCCUCGAACGUGUGAUCAACGACGUUGACUCAGGGAACGGUGAAACAGGUGAUUGUGGAUAAAAUAAGAUGUUGUACAUUUACCACGGACGCGGAAACGGUGAGGCACUACCAGUAGUGUGAUCGUUGUUUGGAUGGCGUGCGCAUCAAUUAGGGGAGAAUCGAAACGAAUUAAAGCACUUUGUGAGGUUUUUCUGAAAUGGUGAUUACUAUUGAAGAGGUGUGAAUUAGCAAUUGCAGCUGAGUUUCGCAUCGAUUGAUUGAGGAAAAUACUGCCCCUUUUAAUCGAGUCGUAGAUAACGUCGGCGUGAAUAAGAGUGCAUCAUCAAGUUUGGUGCUUGGUAACGCAUUUUGUGUGGUUUUGAAAGUGCUGGGUUCAAAAUGCUACGACCCUUGCCAAGGCAGAAGAUGAUAAUAAUGUGGUUGAAACUGCUGAGCUGAUCAAGUGGUUCAAGUUCAACGUUCUAGCGGCUGGCAGUAAGAAGCUAGUCGGGCUUAAGUUGGUUGGCGAGAAAAUUUUACGAAAUUUUUCAAAUGAUACCAAAGUGUGAUGGGAAAGCCAAGUGCGAAACCUUGAAGAUGGUGCAAAUGUUUGUGUAUGGUCGAUGAUUGUGCUUUGGGCGACAUGCCUGAAAGCAAAGGAAAAAGGUGAAUUUCUUGCCCUGUGACGACAAUUCAGCGCAAGGUUUUGAGUGAAAUAGUGGGAAAUUGCUAGUGAAAUGCCACUUAGCCGACGCCGCCGAUGCUGACUCUUGGAAGUGAAAAGAUGAUAGCAGCAGAGCACAGCCAGAGAAGAGGAAAGCGAAGCGAAAAUAUUCUUGAUGCCCCGGGAAAAAUAGUAGUACAUAAUGCUCGAAGCCGGAAGCGGAAUCUUUGGUGAAAACAAAGCUGUCAACUGCCAGCUAGCCGAGGAAACGGCUAAUUUGUGCUAGCCAUCUCGCGUUCAGUAUCCGCGUCGUUGAUCGUUAUUGUUGUUAAGUAUUUCCUAUUGUCGUAUGAUUGCAACGCUGCAGUUUGACAUGUGCUGAAAAUUGUGCAACACUUGUGUGGAAAAGUGAAAAGUGUUCCCUCUAGUGAAAGAAAGAAAGGCAGCCAGAAAAUAAAAGAUAUAAAAAUAUAUCGCUAAACCGCCCAGCUAGCCCAGCCAGCAUUAGAGAGAAGGUCCUGUCCUAGGGCCACGCCACCGUUGCAUUCCCCGGUCAUCAUAAUGUUGGCUCGAAAUGAUUACUGGCUGUCGUUUCGAGAUGGGCGGUCCCCCUGUAUCAUCACCAUCCGGUGUCAUCGCAGAAAUCAAGAGGGGGCGGUGCACUAGUAGCAGCAGAAGUGGAAGCAGUGAUUACGUAUCAUCAACGCAAGAGCCAUAAAUAAAAAGGAAGGAAGGAAAAUCAAGUGUGUGUCUAGUGUUGCAAAAAGUUUUCCAAUAUAAGUAUAAGUGAAGUUUGAUAGCUGAAGGAAAAAAAACGACACAGAGAGCGAAGAAAACAGCAAAAUAAUAGCAUUAUAAGCGGCUUGUGUGCACUCGAUGGAUUAUCCAAAUGGCUUACAUUUCGACGCAACAGGGUGUUAUUUCGCAGGGCUUAAGAUCGAUAAUUCCUCAAACUUCUUCCGACUCCAACCACGACAGGU
Molecule: long non-coding RNA, 1794 nt
Organism: Uranotaenia lowii
Lineage: Eukaryota; Metazoa; Arthropoda; Insecta; Diptera; Culicidae
Exons: 4
Source: RefSeq, a predicted model, not a curated record